AUGGAUGAGUUGAACAGCAUGAACUAUGAUACACGGACACGGAUAUUAAAGAAACGCGGUCACCCCACGGUCCAUCAGCAGGUGGGUGGACUGGCCCCCAGGAGUCCUUUGGCCUUAUGGUGGGGCAUGAGCCACCCUCCUGACAGCAAGAGUCACUUAGGUAACCAGGCUGAGCCUGGUGGGAAUGCGACUUUUCCACCAGGCAGCAAGGGGCUCAGAGGAAAGGUCAGCAUCCUCUGGGGGCUAGGCCGGAGUGGCCGAAAGAAGGAGAUGAAACCUGUUUCAAGGAAACGCAAAUUCCCACCACCAAAAAGGCAAAUCCCAGGCACACAGGGCUGAGAGAGGGAGAGACUGCCAACCAGCCCAGCCUGGACAAACUGACCCACAACUAGAGAAACAGAAACACGAGCCAAGAAGCCUGCUCAGAGCCUUGUCACGUGGCCUUAGCUGGAAUGAAGACUGGGAAUGGCGGAGGCGGGGGAGAAGAAUGUGUCCCUCCGUGUCCCUCUGUCCUUCCACUGGGCUUGACAAGAGAGAAAGGAAAGCUGAAUUCUCAUAGGCGCUUGCUGAAGAAACUAAACUCCCAUCCACCCUUGCAGCCUAACUCCCCAUGGACCAAAAGCUAGAUGGGUGGGUGUCAAUCAUGACUGCACAUCAGUUUUAACAUUUGUAUUUCAGCCAAGAGAACUGGAAUUUGGGGGAUGGUGGGAGAGAGGAGGAGGAUCUAGGCAUCCAUAUGUUCCAGAUGCGAUUCUGGGGGUGGAGGACCAGGGGACAGUGCUCCUCCACGCUGUGUGUGCCCCUGUCUCACCUGGAUCUAGUUAACAAUGAAGAUUCUGAGUUGCAGAUCUGUGCUGAAGUCUGAGCUAUACACUUCACCAAGGUCCAAAGAGAUGUCUGUGCCGACGAUCCUGGUCACUCUUUGAGUCCCAAGAAGCUACAGCCUUUCCCAAGAGGCUCUUGAAAAGAUGUUCAACAUCAUUAAUUACUAGAGAAAAGCAAAUCAAAACUGUAACAAGAUACCACCUUACACCAGUCAGAAUAGCUAUCAUCAAAAAGCCCACAAACAGUAAAUUCUGGAGAGGGUGUAGGGAAAAGGGAACCCCCCUACACUGUUGGUA
This 1121-nucleotide long non-coding RNA is filed under the name Capra hircus (goat). RNAcentral describes it as "lncRNA (ENSCHIG00010026831.1)". The record is from RNAcentral. Lineage: Eukaryota; Metazoa; Chordata; Mammalia; Artiodactyla; Bovidae.